Molecule: ribosomal RNA, 301 nt
Filed under: uncultured bacterium
Lineage: Bacteria
Description: partial 16S ribosomal RNA
Rfam family: Bacterial small subunit ribosomal RNA
Source: RNAcentral
CAGUCGCCGCGGUAAUACGUAGGGUGCGAGCGUUAAUCGGAAUUACUGGGCGUAAAGCGUGCGCAGGCGGUUAUAUAAGACAGAUGUGAAAUCCCCGGGCUCAACCUGGGACCCGCAUUUGUGACUGUAUAGCUAGAGUACGGUAGAGGGGGAUGGAAUUCCGCGUGUAGCAGUGAAAUGCGUAGAUAUGCGGAGGAACACCGAUGGCGAAGGCAAUCCCCUGGACCUGUACUGACGCUCAUGCACGAAAGCGUGGGGAGCAAACAGGAUUAGAUACCCCCGUAGUCCCUGUCUCUUAUAC